RNAcentral lists this long non-coding RNA (6243 nucleotides) under Malus domestica (apple). RNAcentral's name for it is "long non-coding RNA (MDOM_LNC007912)". Lineage: Eukaryota; Viridiplantae; Streptophyta; Magnoliopsida; Rosales; Rosaceae. The record is from RNAcentral.
AUCCUAUAGCCUUAUUCUGCAGAAACGAUCAGACCAACCGAAGGAGAGAGAGAGGGAGAGAGAGAGAGAGAGAUGGGGAUGGGAUUAAAGCAGAGGGUGUUGAGCAUGUAAAUAGGUAGGUGUUUCCAAAGCCUAAAGUCGCAAGGGUUUCCAGUUCCAGUUGAACUCGGAGUUUACUGUUUACCCAACAUGACCACUCUAUUUUUAUAAACCUGUUUUGGACCAAUUUUAAAUAAUCUAGUCCUACCAAUUUUAAUACGCUUUAUACCCGUUUAUUUAUUCAUUCUAAAACGUUAAUAUAAUUAGUCAGGUUGCUCUCUCUGUCCUCUUGCGAUUCUAGCUAGGUAUCGUUCGCAAAUCUACUUUUCAUUGAUAUCGCACAAUCGUCUCAACUCGUGUAUUUAUCGAAUGUAACAAAAUAUUAACCCUUAAUUUUAGAAAUAUUUGUUUUUAUAAAAAAUUUCAAAUAUAUUCAAAAUCUUACUUAAAUAGACACUGAUGAAUCCAUAUUAUACCAUAUAUUUUACCCUAAUCUUAGUUAUAAUUUAUUAGUUUAUUUAGAUGAAUUUUGAUACUUUGUUAUGUAUUUUCAAUGUAGAACAUUCGACUUCUUCUGGAGCAAAAAGUGAUCAAAUAGAUAAAUUUUGGAGUGAUUCCAACUGAAGGAUGUUCGUGAGCCUUUCAAGAUAAUUGUAUCAAAGUUUCAUAUUUUUUUACCAAACCGUUUUACCGUGAUGAUGAAAUAAAGACCCAGCACGAAACGUUUAUGUACGUUUUGGGUAUUUUAAAGGUCAAUAUGACAUAUUUUGAGGAAGAUUCCUUCUGAGGAUUUGUCAGGGACGGCUCAAGCUUUAAAAAGAGAUAUUUUGGGACCAAAUCAGAGUUGAUUUGGUCGGUCAAAAGUCUAAUUUUCUGAGAAGUCCGAAUUUCAGUUUAAAUAGGAAACAUUUUAUUUCCUAGUUAUCUUAUUCUAUUAUAUUUCCCAGUUUUUGGAAGACAUUUUCUAAGUAGGAUUUUAUUUUGUAAUAGUAUAAAUAAGGCUAUUUAGCCAUUAGGAGGGGAUCAAUUUGGAGAGACGCAUUAACUUAGGAGCUUUUGCCAAUUCAAGUUUAUUUUCAAGGUGUUUUCUAUCUAUGUUCUUAAUAAUAUUUUGUUUUAUGAUUAUUCGUAACUAGUUUCGUUUGCUAGGGCGAGGUCACGAGCCUUAGCAAGAAUAUGUAGUUUCUUUUCAAUUUACUUAUGAUGUUAUGCAUGCAGGUUUUGAAUUAUUAAUCACCGUGUUUAUACUAUCUAAUUGUCCUGAUGAUUGGCCACCAUUUGGAUAUUUAGAAAUAUAAUUUGAUGCAAUUUUGACAGAGGGUUGUCCCUAGAAUUGGCAUUGGCUUCUUGUGGUUAGUAUGUGUAACUUCUUAGGAUGGACGACACGACUUAAGGGUUAUAUUGUUUUUCAAAAGGUUUUCACAAAACUUAAUAAGUCUUGCAUGUUCACAUUUGAUCUGGGCGCUACGGACGGGUUACAUGUUAGAUAUACGUUCUAUGUUGGAGGUUUCAAGUAGGACAUACUUUAGGAAAGCCUAACCUUCAAAAUAUGCAUGUGUAAGUCAUAAGUAAUUGGAAGAACUACGUAAGAUUGUUAAGGUGACGACAAAACCCUAGUGUGUAAAUAGAUUUUCAAAACUAUUUUCUUUUGUUUUCUUUACUUUCCAAUUUAUUUAAUUGUUUUUAAUUAAUUCGUUUUUAAUAUUUUAGGUCAUUAAAUCAACCUUUUUCAAAUAAUUAAUUAAGAUUUGAUUCUAACAUAAAUUAUUCAUUCAACCUUUUUCAACCUAGUACUCCAUGCAAUUAAAUGUGUUUAUCCUUACUUUUGCAAGUGGUAAAAAUACCUAUCAAACACAAAUACCUAAAACUUUAAAACCAAAUAAACUAAAAAAUCAAAACCCCAUUAGAUGAAGGCGAGGAGAGAAAUAGCUAUUAAAAGUUCCAAGUGCAGCAAUCAAAUCAUCACAUCAGAAUCAGAUGGAAGAAAACCCUGCGAAUCCCUCCUCCGACCAUUGGUACCAUGCAUUGGCCUGCAGUAAUUAAGCCCCUCUUGUUAAUCAUCUUCGUAGGCGGCUGGAGCAUAAUCUUUUACUUCCUGGAGGCGCAUGAACACUUUGUUGGGGCUUAAAAAGACUUCACUACUUUGGAGUUGUUUUUCUCACAAAGGAGUAUGUAACGCAGCGGAAUUGAUAGACAAGAGAAAGAAAUAAUACUCAAAGUAUUACACAAGAUUUUUAUUCACUCACAAACUUAAUACAAGAGGAAACACUCAAACACUCUUAGAAGCUUUGUUGCUUCUUCUCACUUCUCACUACUUGCUCUCUUGGUUGUUACAAAUGGUGUGGAUGCCUUCUCCUUUUAUAGGCAUGGAUGGAACCUUGGAGAAGCAUGGAAGUAUCAUGCUAGAGAUAUCUAGAUAAUUCCACUUCCUUCCUAAGUUAGAAUUAUCUACACUAAUCUUGUAUGUUGGUUGAAUCCUCACCAUUCUUCUAGACUCUUCCACCAACUUGAACUUUGCUAGAAUUCUCUAGCAUGUGCAUGGAUCUUUCUUUGUGCAUGGGCUGGAUCCAUUAUCUUUGGGCCAAGACAAGAUUACAAUUCAAAAUCCCCCUUAAUCUUGUCCUGUGACACCGAUUGAGUUCCUCAGUCCGAUAAAGUCUUCUUGUUUGAGUGGCUUAGUGAAUAUGUCCGCAAUUGGUCUUGAGACUUCACGUAUUCCACUUGCACAUCCUUUCUUGCAAUACACUCUCUUAUGUAAUGAUAGCGGGUAUCUAUGUGUUUGCUCAUGUCAUGGAAUACUGAAUUCUUUGCUAGAGCUAUUGCAGACUUGCAAUACACUCUCUUAUGUAAUGAUAGCGGCACCUGCUGUGUGAGUAGGCUGUGUUGGGUUUCACUUGUUGGAGAAGCUGAGUUGGGAGGAUGCUUUGUAUUUGUCAGUUGUUUCUGUGACCACUGUUGGCUACGGUGAAAUUCCAGUAAAGACAGCAAGCACUAGGGUUUUUGCAAGCAUUUGGAUGUGUUUUUCCACAAUUAUCUUUAUCAAAUGUCAGACAUACCUAGUUGUUAGAAUUAUGAGAGCAUUUGGAAGAAAUUAAGGCUUUGACAUUCGUAGACUCUGACUCUUCUUCUGGGUGCUAGUGUUUUGUUAGGGAAGCAGUUUGUGUAGAUGGAACCAGACUCUUUCGAGUCUUAUGUGUUACGUUAUAUCGAGUCAUUCUCAUGUAAAGAAAUUCCAAAUCACAUUUAGUUUUCAUUAUCAAUUACGGUUUUAGUAUUGUUUACUUCUUUUAGAAUAACUUGUUUUUAUUACAAAAUGUUGGAACCAAAUUUGUGAAAAUCAUAGUCCCUCUUUGGGACUCCCACAUGAAAGAACUCGGUAAAAGCCUUUACUUGAGGGAAAGUAAAACUACAUUGGAAAAAAAACGAGCAAGGAAAAUGACGCUUCCACACGCCCAGUAAAAACAUCCCAGUAAACAAACAAAUCCCCCUCCAUGCCAUGAACGCGUUGCAACACACCAAAUGGAAAUGUAAUUUUUAAUUCCAUAUUUUAUAUUUACUUUUUUAAAUACUGUAAAAUCAAAUAUUAAUUGAAUAGCGGGUCUUAUGGAAAACUUAAAAAUCUUGAAUGAAUACAAUCAGAUUUUUAGACCAUCUCCAAAGGCUAAGCGGAAUGUCGCAUAAUCAAAUUUGAAAGUAGGAAGAAACUUUAACUGAUAUGUCAAUAUGAACCUUUUGCUGUCAAAUUUGACAUGUGCAAAAAAGGUUACUGUCAAUUAGUUUUUUUAUUAUUUUAUUGCGUGUGUUCUAUUAAUACACCAAUUAUAAAUUUUAAAAUUUAUUUUAAUUGAUUUUUUUUAAAUGAAUCCUACAAAUAUCAAUUAUAACAAAAAAAAUAGAGAAAGAAAAAAAUGACAUUGUGUAGAAAAAUAAUUCAAGCUCAAGCACAAAAAAUCAAACAUACUACUCUGAUCAACUGACCUAAUUCACAUCAGUCCAAAAUCAAUUUGUUUGGAUGAGAGCAAAUUUGAGUGGGUGUAGAGAUUGGGGUGCAAAGUCCACACUUCUCUAGCUCGUACAAAUUGGGUAAGUCCACUCGGCAACACCCCCCCCCCCCCCCCCCCCCUUCCCCGCUUCUCUCUCUCUCUCUCUCUCUCUCUCUCUCUCUCUCCCUCUCCCUCCCUCCCCCUCCCCCCCCUCCUCCUCCUCUCUCAGACGAAAAUUCAAAUUCUAGCCCUUGCCACGAGAGAUUUUUGGGACUUCCUAUUUGCUUAGAGAAGGAUAAGCGGAAACUUUUUUGUUCAAUCAAGGACCAUGUUUGGAACAAAGUAUACAAGGGGGAAGGCAAAUUGAUUUCUCAGGGCGGAAGAUAAGUGUUGACUGAAGCAAUGUGGCAAGCUAUACCCAAUUAUAGAAUGCUUUCAGUUACUACUUUUCUAGUAGAGAAACUUGCAGAAACUUAUGCACGUAAAGAAGUGGGUACUUCACUACUUCAACUGCAAUGUUAGAGGUCACUCGUAUGGAUGCUUUAUCUAUCAGUUUGAUAGGAUUAGCAAUUUAGCUGCAAAAACAUAAACAACUAAAUAAAAACAAUGUCUAAAAUGCACCUGCCAAUAGUUAUAUAUAUAUAUAUUACAAUACAAUACGCAGGUAAAUACAGCAGCUAGUAGAAAUUAGAAUCAUCAAUCUCAAUCAGGUCAGCAAUAACACCUAUGACUUCGAUCAAAAUCUUGGCAUGCCCUUGACUGCCCCGCCGUCCCAUUCGGUGGGAAAAGGUCGCAAGAGAAGCGCGUCAGUUCGGAAGUAUCCAGACCAAACAACGUAGUAUUAUACCUAAAAGAACCCAACAGCUUCAGCCACAGGCUCCCCGACCCAUAACAACUUGGGGAGGUGGAGGAAGAGGAGGAGGAGAUGAUUAUAUCGUUGGCCGCGUCUGUUCCGAUGUACGACCUCGCCAUUACCACCGAGAAAUCAAGAGUGAUCUGGUUCAUCUUACUUACAUAGAUGGGAGGCAACGGCGCCGUUCCCAGCUUGAGAUUGCUGUCGCUUUCCUUGUCGUCGACGUCGCCGUAGAAGAUAUCGGCUUGAAGGUUCUCGUAAUACAAGUCCAGCUUCCGGUUGGGAUUUAUAGCAACCAGCGUCAAGUCCCACGUGGCGGUUAAGUAGUCGCUGCUGGAUGUGGCGGUGAGUGGGCACGGCGACACGGCUACCAAGUCGACCCGGAACUCAGGGAAUUCAGGGCUGAGCUUCGCGUCACGCAAUAAAGUCCACGCCAAGGCUGUGAAGAGAAAGAUUGCCAAUAGCGCGGCGAAGCAAGAAAACAAUUUUACAAAGCCGUCCGGCGGAGGAAGACUUUGCCAUUCCCAUUCGAUCAGUUAAUUCACUAUCCUAUAGCCUUAUUCUGCAGAAUCGAUCAGACCAACCGAAGGAGAGAGAGAGAGAGAGAGAGAGAGAGAGAGAGAGAGAUGGGGAUGGGAUUAAAAGCAGAGGGUGUUGAGCAUGUAAAUAGGUAGGUGUUUCCAAAGCCUAAAGUCGCAAGGAUUUCCAGUUCCAGUUGAACUCGGAGUUUACUGUUUACCCAACAUGACCACUCUAUUUUUAUAAACCUGUUUUGGACCAAUUUUAAAUAAUCUAGUCCUACCAAUUUUAAUACGCUUGAUACCCGUUUAUUUAUUCUUUCUAAAACGUUAAUAUAAUUAGUCAGGUUGCUCUCUCUGUCCUCUUGCGAUUCUAGCUAGGUAUCGUUCGCAAAUCUACUUUUCAUUGAUAUCGCACCAUCGUCUCAACCUGUGUAUUUAUUGAAUGUAGCCAAAUAUUAGCCCUUAAUUUUAGAAAUAUUUGUUUUUAUAAAAACUUUUAAAUAUAUUCAAAAUCUCACUUAAAUAGACACUGAUGAAUCCAUAUUAUACCAUAUAUUUUACCAUAAUCGUAGUUAUAAUUUAUUAGUUUAUUUAGAUGAAUUUUGAUACUUUAUUAUGUAUUUUCAAUAUAGAACAUUCGACUUCUUCUGAAGCAAAAAGUGAUCAAAUGGAUGAAUUUUGGAGUGAUUCCAACUAAAGGAUGUUCGUGAGCCUUUCAAGAUGAUUGUAUCAAAGUUUCAUAUUUUUCUAUCUAACCAUUUGACCGUGACGAUGAAAUAAAGACCCAAUGCGCAAUGUUUCUGUACGUUUUGGGUAUUUUGAAGGUCAAGAUGGCAUAUUUUGAGGA